AGAGUUUGAUCCUGGCUCAGAUUGAACGCUGGCGGCAGGCCUAACACAUGCAAGUCGAGCGGUAGCACAGAGAGCUUGCUCUCGGGUGACGAGCGGCGGACGGGUGAGUAAUGUCUGGGAAACUGCCUGAUGGAGGGGGAUAACUACUGGAAACGGUAGCUAAUACCGCAUAACGUCGCAAGACCAAAGUGGGGGACCUUCGGGCCUCAUGCCAUCAGAUGUGCCCAGAUGGGAUUAGCUAGUAGGUGGGGUAACGGCUCACCUAGGCGACGAUCCCUAGCUGGUCUGAGAGGAUGACCAGCCACACUGGAACUGAGACACGGUCCAGACUCCUACGGGAGGCAGCAGUGGGGAAUAUUGCACAAUGGGCGCAAGCCUGAUGCAGCCAUGCCGCGUGUGUGAAGAAGGCCUUCGGGUUGUAAAGCACUUUCAGCGGGGAGGAAGGCG
Molecule: ribosomal RNA, 447 nt
Filed under: Klebsiella granulomatis
Lineage: Bacteria; Pseudomonadati; Pseudomonadota; Gammaproteobacteria; Enterobacterales; Enterobacteriaceae
Description: bacterial SSU rRNA
Rfam family: Bacterial small subunit ribosomal RNA
Source: RNAcentral